AGUCUUCUGCGGAAGUGGGGAGGGGAAUACACUUCAGCUUUAGCUCACAGUCCGAGAGCUGCCAAGACUCAGGAACAGGGAAAGGGUGUUGAUGAAGAGACACUAUGUGUUUGGUGAAGAAAGGCCCCAGUGCAUGACUGUGUGACUCAGGGGAAGCCCGUGGACACAGCCUGAGCAGCCCUUCGGAAAAGCCCACAUGCUGAGCAACUCGAGGCCUCACACCAAUGGCCAGUGGAGACCCGAAGCAGCCUUGGCAACGGCCAGUCGUGGUGAGUAAACCGCGUCAACACAGAUCCUCAGUCGAGCCUUCAGAGCGCCACCGUCCAGGUGGACAGCAUUUCCAAGCUCACGAGAGACAAUGAACCCGGACAACUCAGGAAUGACAAGUACAACCCCAUUAAAAGAUGAGUUGGGUUUCGCUGACAAUGCCAGGAAGGGUGUCCCAGAUGGAGGGGACAGUAGACACAGAGGCACAGGACCAUGGCACUCCUGGAUGGAUCUGCACACAGGAUGGCUGGUGUGGCAAGCUUUGGUUGGAGGCGACUAGAGAGGUGAGUGGGCUGGGAGAGGCUGGGAAGGGCCUU
Molecule: long non-coding RNA, 584 nt
Organism: Lutra lutra (Eurasian river otter)
Lineage: Eukaryota; Metazoa; Chordata; Mammalia; Carnivora; Mustelidae
Exons: 3
Source: RefSeq, a predicted model, not a curated record